GUAGGUGGCAAGCGUUGUCCGGAAUUAUUGGGCGUAAAGCGCGCGCAGGCGGUCCUUUAAGUCUGAUGUGAAAGCCCACGGGCUCAACCGUGGAGGGUCAUUGGAAACUGGGGGACUUGAGAACAGAAGAGGAAAGCGGAAUUCCACGCGUAGCGGUGAAAUGCGUAGAGAUGUGGAGGAACACCAGUGGCGAAGGCGGCUUUCUGGUCUGUAACUGACGCUGAGGCGCGAAAGCGUGGGGAGCAAACAGGAUUAGAUACCCUGGUAGUCCACGCCGUAAACGAUGAGUGCUAAGUGUUAGGGGGUUUCCGCCCCUUAGUGCUGCAGCUAACGCAUUAAGCACUCCGCCUGGGGAGUACGGCCGCAAAGGCUG
Molecule: ribosomal RNA, 373 nt
Filed under: uncultured organism
Description: partial 16S ribosomal RNA
Rfam family: Bacterial small subunit ribosomal RNA
Source: RNAcentral